Eriocheir sinensis (Chinese mitten crab) is the source of this 1758-nucleotide RNA transcript. RefSeq lists it as uncharacterized. NCBI's taxonomy places the organism in Eukaryota, Metazoa, Arthropoda, Malacostraca, Decapoda, Varunidae. The record is from RefSeq and is a predicted model, not a curated record. The transcript is spliced from 6 exons.
ACUAAGGAAGGAGAAAGGGAAGGGGCAUAUAGAACAAGUGAUGGGAAGGAGAUGGGAGUAGAUAGGAGUGAUGGGAGAAAGGGGAGGGAAGGGGAAAGGGGAUAUGAGGCUUGGAUAGAAGAUGGGAUAGCUGAGGAAAGAGGAGGAGGAGUAAGAGGAGGAAUAGAAGAGGAGGAGGAGGAAGAAACAGAUUAUGGAAGAGAAGUAAGAAGGAAGGAAGAAAGGGAAAGAAAGGAGAACAACACAAACAAGAAUUGGAAUAAAGAAGAAACAGAGGAAAAGAAGAAGACAAAUCAGGGAAUAACAAACACCAACAACAAGAAGAAGAAAGAAGAAAACUAUGAAAGAAAUGAAGACAAAGAUGAAGAAAGAAAAAGAAAAGAAAAUUACCACGAAAUCAAAGAGGAAAAUAAAGAACAUUGGAGUGAAGACAAAUAUGAAGAAGAGGAAGAAGAGAAGAGGAAAGAACAGGCCUACCAAAAUAAAGAGGAAGAGGAAGAGGAAGAGGAGGAGUACGCUAUUUUGGAUGAGUUUCUGGAUGCCUCGACAAGGGCUCGUCUACGCCAGCUCUCGGGGAAGGUGGCGGCACUGUCCGAGGCACUCCAGCUGGCCCGAGAGGAGUGCCGAGAGCUGGCCAGCAGUAAACGUGAGGCAACCAAGGGAGCGCAGGCAGCUGAGAUGGAGCGUCGCGCCUUGGCCAAGCAGGUGCAGGGGCUGAGGCAGGAGUCGGUGAGGCAGCAGAAGACCAACGCUGAUCUGCGGCUGAGGGUGAAGCAGCUUAGCCAGGAGGGACAGGCGCUGCGGAAGGAGUCUCAUGAAGUCCGCCAGCGAGCCAGCAGCACCACCAGCACCACCACCGCCCUGCACACCCAGCUCACCAGGGCCAGGGGGGAGUGUGCCAGCCUCAGGGGACAGCUCUCGGACACACGGAAGGACCACAGGGAGGAGGUGGAGGAGCUGAGGAGGAGGCUGGAGGAGGCGGAGGAGAGAUGGAGGGAGGUGGAGAGAGAACGGAGGGACUUGAAGACUCUAUGCAAGAAGCAGGAGAGGAUGAUUGAAGUCCUCACUCAGCAAAAGAACCACCUGGCUGCAGCGAAGGUGGUCACCAGCCUCGAGAAGCAGUUCCUGACCACCAUCGCCCCCCUGAACCCCCCCUGAGCCACCCCCUAUGACCCUCUUUGACCUCUCUGUCCCCCCUUCUCUCUCUCUCUUAACCCCAUACAGGUAAGAUAUGCUUGUUACCUGGGUUGGGUACACACACAUACAUACAUACAUACAUACAGGGAUAAACUUAACAGGCAGAUACACACACACACACACACACACACACACACAUCCAGGGGCGUUCCUAGACAUUUUGGGGCCCGGGGGGCUCAUUCCCAUUUGGGGCCCCUCUUAUGGGGUGAGAGGCGAGCACAAUGAGCCAAAGCAGCUGCGGGGUUUAGUGGGGUCUAUAAUGGUCUCCAUGAUUGGAAGGGGGCCCCUGAAGAGCCCUAUUUCUUUGACAUAACAUUUUUGUUACAUUUUUGUUUACAAAAUUGAAAAUUGGGGCCCUUUAGUGAGACCCAAAUUUGUCUUUCGGGUCCAAAUAUAAAUGGGGCCCUUGACCAUUUUGGGGCCACUGAAUUUAGCUUGUCCUCCUGCCAUAGCAGCAAUGGUUAAAUUUCGCAUUUUGGGGCCCCCCUCACUUUGGGGCCCGGGGGGCGAUUUCAAACAGCCCCCCCUCGCCCCCCCCCUCAGGAACGCCACUGCACACAU